GACGAACGCUGGCGGCGUGCUUAACACAUGCAAGUCGAACGGAAAGGCCCUGCUUUUGUGGGGUGCUCGAGUGGCGAACGGGUGAGUAACACGUGAGUAACCUGCCCUUGACUUUGGGAUAACUUCAGGAAACUGGGGCUAAUACCGGAUAGGAGCUCCUGCUGCAUGGUGGGGGUUGGAAAGUUUCGGCGGUUGGGGAUGGACUCGCGGCUUAUCAGCUUGUUGGUGGGGUAGUGGCUUACCAAGGCUUUGACGGGUAGCCGGCCUGAGAGGGUGACCGGCCACAUUGGGACUGAGAUACGGCCCAGACUCCUACGGGAGGCAGCAGUGGGGAAUAUUGCACAAUGGGCGGAAGCCUGAUGCAGCAACGCCGCGUGCGGGAUGACGGCCUUCGGGUUGUAAACCGCUUUCGCCUGUGACGAAGCGUGAGUGACGGUAAUGGGUAAAGAAGCACCGGCUAACUACGUGCCAGCAGCCGCGGUGAUACGUAGGGUGCGAGCGUUGUCCGGAUUUAUUGGGCGUAAAGGGCUCGUAGGUGGUUGAUCGCGUCGGCAGUGUAAUCUUGGGGCUUAACCCUGAGCGUGCUUUCGAUACGGGUUGACUUGAGGAAGGUAGGGGAGAAUGGAAUUCCUGGUGGAGCGGUGGAAUGCGCAGAUAUCAGGAGGAACACCAGUGGCGAAGGCGGUUCUCUGGGCCUUUCCUGACCCUGAAGAACGAAAGCGUGGGGAGCGAACAGGCUUAGAUACCCUGGUAGUCCACUCUGUAAACGGUGGGUACUAGGUGUGGGGUCCAUUCCACGGGUUCCGUGCCGUAGCUAACGCUUUAAGUACCCCGCCUGGGGAGUACGGCCGCAAGGCUAAAACUCAAAGGAAUUGACGGGGCCCCGCACAAGCGGCGGAGCAUGCGGAUUAAUUCGAUGCAACGCGUAGAACCUUACCUGGGUUUGACAUGGAUCGGGAGUGCUCAGAGAUGGGUGUGCCUCUUUUGGGGUCGGUUCACAGGUGGUGCAUGGCUGUCGUCAGCUCGUGUCGUGAGAUGUUGGGUUAAGUCCCGCAACGAGCGCAACCCUUGUUCACUGUUGCCAGCACGUUAUGGUGGGGACUCAGUGGAGACCGCCGGGGUCAACUCGGAGGAAGGUGGGGAUGACGUCAAGUCAUCAUGCCCCUUAUGUCCAGGGCUUCACGCAUGCUACAAUGGCUGGUACAGAGAGUGGCGAGCCUGUGAGGGUGAGCGAAUCUCGGAAAGCCGGUCUCAGUUCGGAUUGGGGUCUGCAACUCGACCUCAUGAAGUCGGAGUCGCUAGUAAUCGCAGAUCAGCAACGCUGCGGUGAAUACGUUCCCGGG
Molecule: ribosomal RNA, 1343 nt
Filed under: uncultured bacterium
Lineage: Bacteria
Description: 16S ribosomal RNA
Rfam family: Bacterial small subunit ribosomal RNA
Source: RNAcentral